UAGCGUGUGUUUGAAUCUGCAUAUGCGCAUUUGGACAGACAGGAUACCCGUUACUUUCAGUCAAUCAGCACAAAUGAAAACAAACGAGCCAGAGAGGACGGUUAACCUGAAGGUCCCCGGAGACGCUGCUCGUGCUGCACGGUCGGGUUACUUCAGUUACAACGUCAACACUCACUCUGUGAAAAUGAUCCAAAGAAAGCUGGGCUAUUGUGGUGAUUUUGUGGUGUGUCCUGAGUCCACAACAAAUUGGUGCGGUGACCCGGAUCAAGAGAUCAGAUGCUGCAGACCACCGGGGAGCUUCUCUACGUUUCCUCAAGAUCACAGGCACAUCUGAGCUGCAAUCCGGAGGCGCCAUGGACCCACGAGCAAUCGCAGUCAUUCAAGUUAAUCCUUGAUAUUCCACCACCCGCGUCCCAGAAGCGUGCGUGAAGUGGUGCUCCACUCCGCGUAAACGAUACGAGAGCCACGGGGCGUUCGGACAGCUGGGCAGAAAGUGAAACAGAGAGAGCAUCCAGUCAAUUUACCAAAAUACAUCCCGCAACAUCAUAAACAUCUCCUCUACAACACCAUGGACGACGGGAAAUUCAUGUUGGAGGUGAAAAACAUAAUAGACACCAUAGAUCCUUUUUAUAAGGACAAUGCCAGAAAAGAGAAGGCAUGGAGUUUAAUUACAGGAGUGCUUGGAGUGGAAGGUAGAUACUAGCUUAAU
Molecule: long non-coding RNA, 709 nt
Organism: Perca flavescens (yellow perch)
Lineage: Eukaryota; Metazoa; Chordata; Actinopteri; Perciformes; Percidae
Exons: 3
Source: RefSeq, a predicted model, not a curated record